GGCUGGUCUGAGUGCAGUGGUGUUUACAAUUCGACCAGUUAUAGAUUUCUUUAUUACUGCUCUACUCCCACUGCUUCACUUGACUAGCCUAAA
Cebus imitator (Panamanian white-faced capuchin) is the source of this 93-nucleotide unclassified non-coding RNA. It matches the Rfam family "Y RNA". Rfam says of the family: Y RNAs are components of the Ro ribonucleoprotein particle (Ro RNP), in association with Ro60 and La proteins. The Y RNAs and Ro60 and La proteins are well conserved, but the function of the Ro RNP is not known. The record is from Ensembl. NCBI's taxonomy places the organism in Eukaryota, Metazoa, Chordata, Mammalia, Primates, Cebidae.